UCUACGGGAGGCAGCAGUGGGGAAUUUUGGACAAUGGGCGCAAGCCUGAUCCAGCCAUGCCGCGUGAGUGAAGAAGGCCUUCGGGUUGUAAAGCUCUUUCGGCCGGGACGAAAUCGCUCUCGCUAACACCGGGAGUGGAUGACGGUACCGGAUGAAGAAGCACCGGCUAACUACGUGCCAGCAGCCGCGGUAAUACGUAGGGUGCGAGCGUUAAUCGGAAUUACUGGGCGUAAAGCGUGCGCAGGCGGUUUCGCAAGUCAGAUGUGAAAGCCCCGGGCUUAACCUGGGAACUGCGUUUGAAACUACGAAGCUAGAGUACGGCAGAGGGAGGUGGAAUUCCAAGUGUAGCAGUGAAAUGCGUAGAUAUUUGGAGGAACACCGAUGGCGAAGGCAGCCUCCUGGGCUAGUACUGACGCUCAUGCACGAAAGCGUGGGGAGCAAACAGGAUUAGAUACCCUGGUAGUCCACGCCCUAAACGAUGGCAACUAGUUGUUGGGGAUUAACAUCCUUAGUAACGCAGCUAACGCGUGAAGUUGCCCGCCUGGGGAGUACGGUCGCAAGAUUAAAACUCAAAGGAAUUGACGGA
This 586-nucleotide ribosomal RNA is filed under the name uncultured bacterium. Its description in RNAcentral is "bacterial SSU rRNA". It matches the Rfam family "Bacterial small subunit ribosomal RNA", at positions 338 to 917 of the family's 1533-position model. The record is from RNAcentral.